GGAAUAUUGGUCAAUGGGCGCGAGCCUGAACCAGCCAAGUAGCGUGCAGGACGACGGCCCUACGGGUUGUAAACUGCUUUUAUCAGGGGAUAAAGUGCGGGACGUGUCCCUCAUUGCAGGUACCUGAUGAAUAAGCAUCGGCUAAUUCCGUGCCAGCAGCCGCGGUAAUACGGAAGAUGCGAGCGUUAUCCGGAUUUAUUGGGUUUAAAGGGAGCGUAGGCGGGCUUUUAAGCCAGCGGUCAAAUGUCAGGGCCCAACCUUGGCAUGCCGUUGGAACUGGGAGCCUUGAAUACACACAAGGAAGGUGGAAUUCGUCGUGUAGCGGUGAAAUGCUUAGAUAUGACGAAGAACUCCGAUUGCGAAGGCAGCCUUCUGGGGUGCGAUUGACGCUGAGGCUCGAAAGUGCGGGUAUCGAACA
RNAcentral lists this ribosomal RNA (418 nucleotides) under uncultured bacterium. Its description in RNAcentral is "bacterial SSU rRNA". It matches the Rfam family "Bacterial small subunit ribosomal RNA", at positions 358 to 774 of the family's 1533-position model. The record is from RNAcentral.